RNAcentral lists this unclassified non-coding RNA (348 nucleotides) under soil metagenome. Its description in RNAcentral is "partial contains 5.8S ribosomal RNA, internal transcribed spacer 2, and large subunit ribosomal RNA". The stretch from base 1 to 120 matches the Rfam family "5.8S ribosomal RNA", at positions 35 to 154 of the family's 154-position model. The record is from RNAcentral.
GAUGAAGAACGCAGCAAAAUGCGAUAAGUAAUGUGAAUUGCAGAAUUCAGUGAAUCAUCGAAUCUUUGAACGCACAUUGCGCCCGCUGGUAUUCCGGCGGGCAUGCCUGUUCGAGCGUCAUUUCAACCCUCAAGCCCCCGGGUUUGGUGUUGGGGAUCGGCUCUGCCCUUCUGGGCGGUGCCGCCCCCGAAAUACAUUGGCGGUCUCGCUGCAGCCUCCAUUGCGUAGUAGCUAACACCUCGCAACUGGAACGCGGCGCGGCCAUGCCGUAAAACCCCAACUUCUGAAUGUUGACCUCGGAUCAGAUAGGAAUACCCGCUGAACUUAAGCAUAUCAAUAAGCGGAGGA